Molecule: ribosomal RNA, 601 nt
Filed under: uncultured bacterium
Lineage: Bacteria
Description: bacterial SSU rRNA
Rfam family: Bacterial small subunit ribosomal RNA
Source: RNAcentral
CGGGUGAGUAAUGCCUGGGAAUAUGCCUUAGUGUGGGGGAUAACUAUUGGAAACGAUAGCUAAUACCGCAUAAUGUCUUCGGACCAAAGAGGGGGACCUUCGGGCCUCUCGCGCUAAGAUUAGCCCAGGUGGGAUUAGCUAGUUGGUGAGGUAAAGGCUCACCAAGGCAACGAUCCCUAGCUGGUCUGAGAGGAUGAUCAGCCACACUGGAACUGAGACACGGUCCAGACUCCUACGGGAGGCAGCAGUGGGGAAUAUUGCACAAUGGGGGAAACCCUGAUGCAGCCAUGCCGCGUGUAUGAAGAAGGCCUUCGGGUUGUAAAGUACUUUCAGUCGUGAGGAAGGGUGUGUAGUUAAUAGCUGCAUACCUUGACGUUAGCGACAGAAGAAGCACCGGCUAACUCCGUGCCAGCAGCCGCGGUAAUACGGAGGGUGCGAGCGUUAAUCGGAAUUACUGGGCGUAAAGCGCAUGCAGGCGGUCUGUUAAGCAAGAUGUGAAAGCCCGGGGCUCAACCUCGGAACCGCACUUUGAACUGGCAGACUAGAGUCUUGUAGAGGGGGGUAGAAUUUCAGGUGUAGCGGUGAAAUGCGUAGAGAUCUG